GAAGUCUGACGGAGCACGCCGCGUGAGUGAUGAAGGUUUUCGGAUCGUAAAACUCUGUUGUUAGGGAAGAACAAGUACCGUUCGAAUAGGGCGGUACCUUGACGGUACCUAACCAGAAAGCCACGGCUAACUACGUGCCAGCAGCCGCGGUAAU
RNAcentral lists this ribosomal RNA (154 nucleotides) under Bacillus sp. (in: firmicutes). RNAcentral's name for it is "Bacillus sp. (in: Bacteria) partial 16S ribosomal RNA". It matches the Rfam family "Bacterial small subunit ribosomal RNA", at positions 378 to 524 of the family's 1533-position model. Lineage: Bacteria; Bacillati; Bacillota; Bacilli; Caryophanales; Bacillaceae. The record is from RNAcentral.